AUUUUAUUUAUUUUUAUGUGGCGCUAAGGAUUGAACCCAGGGCCUUACACACGCUAGCAAGUGGUCUACCACUGAGCCGCAACCCCAGCCUUGAAAAUCAGCUUUUCUUGAUGCAUCUAAUUUAUGUUAAAGUCCCGUAGAUAUGAAUGUUGUAGCUGACGCCGAUGUAGAGGACACUUCAUUUUUUUUUUUUCCUACUUUUUGCGCUUUCCUGCCUUCACUGCCAUUGUCUUAGUAAAUUCCUCACCAUUGCUUGUUUCGACAAUUGCGUUAGGCUUUAAGUUGGUAUUUCUUUAUUUUUUUAAUUGAUUAAAAAAAAUGACAGCGGAAUGCAUUACAAUUCUUAUUACACACACACACACAUACACACACAUAUAUAUAUGUUGGUAUUUCUUGUCCUUGCCUCUCCCCCUGGUUCCAUCCUCCCAUAUUUCUCAGGUCCUUUUGGGUGUGCAAGGUGGAUCAUCAUUUCAGUAAUACCUAUGAUUCAUUGAGCCCUAACUACAUGGCAGGCAGUGUGCGAGGUGUUUGCACGUGUUAUGGUGGGCAGAGGAGAGUGAGACUUAGGCUUGUUGACUUUGGGGCAGUCUACCUGUAUUCUAGUCUGCUCACUUGCUCAUUGUGUAGUUUUGAAGAUGUCAUUUUAAUCUUCUCUGCCUUAAUUUCUUUACCUGUACAGGGGGAAUCGCAGCAGUGUUUACCUCAUGAGGCCAUUGUGAGGACUGAAGUAAGAUAAUGAGUGUCAAGUGCUUAGCUAUUUAUUUUGAGAUCUAACUCACAUACUAUACAACUCAGCCUUUAAAAGUGAACAGUUUAGAGUAUUCUGGUACCCCAGGGUUCAAUCCCCAGUACAAUAAAUAAAUAAGUGGUGGAAGCCACUUAUGUACGUGUGUGUGGUACUGGGGAUAGAAUUUAGGGGUGCUCUACCACUGAGUUACAUCCCCAUCCCUUUUUAUUUUUUAUUUUAAGGCAUUAUCUCACUAAGUAGUUGAGGCUGGCAUUGAACUUUCUGCCUCAGUCUCCUAAUUAACUG
RNAcentral lists this long non-coding RNA (1033 nucleotides) under Marmota monax (woodchuck). Lineage: Eukaryota; Metazoa; Chordata; Mammalia; Rodentia; Sciuridae. The record is from RNAcentral.